Apodemus sylvaticus (European woodmouse) is the source of this 1218-nucleotide long non-coding RNA. RefSeq lists it as uncharacterized. The record is from RefSeq and is a predicted model, not a curated record. NCBI's taxonomy places the organism in Eukaryota, Metazoa, Chordata, Mammalia, Rodentia, Muridae. The transcript is spliced from 2 exons.
UGGAACUUGACUUCUACUCUUCCUAAGCACCGGCCGUGCCCAUUGUUCACCAGUCUCAUCUCCAAAUCAGAUCCAUCUAGAGAGGAGACCAAGUGAAAUGUAUUCCUCAUGCUGUCAGGAGUAAAAUACAUGAAGAAAGGAGACUUUGGUUGAUAUAUGGCGACACUGGAGAAGAUGAACAAAAUUUUAGAAGCACUUUCUUGAACAAGAAACUCCAACCAAAGACCACACCUUAGCAAGGCUUGUUUUCAUUAUAGGCAAUUAGUCAUAAUACUUGAUAAUUAUAAAAGGUCACAGUCAAUGUACAUAGAAGUGCAUCACAUGCUGUAUUAUUCAAUCCUUACAAGUUUCAACAGUAUAUGCUAGCUUUGUUGUCCACUUCACAGAUCAACAGCCCAAAGCUCAAUCACUGGACAUAGCAUUGAGAACCUAGAAAGAUGGCCAAGCCAAGACAUGAGUGGUGGAGCGGUGUGGGAUGUGGCCCAGCAUCAGUUUUCUGUUGAUUUGUGUGCCAAGAGGUGGAUUCUGAAGACUAAGAAGAAGUUAGGGUGAAGGAUCUCACAAAUACAGACAGCAGAUCCCUAUAAAACUAGCAAUUCCUCGAGUAGCUAUCGGCUCUUUUUCUCUUAUCAGGUUCUAGUUGGACCUUCAAGUUUAUAAGCUUCAAAAAGUACAUUUAACUUCAUUCUUCAUUAUGUAAGAAAAUAAGAGCACAGGGUACCACACUUCAGCUGUAAUUGAAUAUCAGCCAUAUUUACAGGAAAGGACUGGAAAGAUUUCUUAUAGUUUUGAAAUUUGUUAUAAAUGCUUCAUUUGACCCCUCAUCAUAAAGAUUAAUGAUAAAAUAAACAAGGAGAAAGAGACAAAGAUGGUUUAGUCCACAUGAUAAUAAAAGAUGGGUUCUAUGAAGAAAUUCGUAUUUUCAGCAUUAUUACACACCAGACAGUGUGUAGAGAGCUUGGCAUGUGUCUUAUUAUUGAGUUACCAGAAGCUUAGAAAGAUGAAAUGAUUUACGUGAAGUUUUAGCAUCAGUGAAUUACUGCGCCAGAAUUCAAUGGAACAUUGAAUCCAAGAGACACUGUGAGCUGAAGUAGAAAUAGGUGCAUGAAUUUUGCUUUGAUGUAGGUAAGCCUUACCUGAGCAGGUCACUCCAGCAUCUUGUUCAUGGGUACAGUUAUGCUUUCCCCACCCCUCAUGUUUGCAGUCCCAAAGAGCUGA